AACCCGUAGAUCCGAUCUUGCGGUAUAAUUGAGUCACACAAGCCCGAGUCUGUGGGUCUG
Molecule: microRNA precursor, 60 nt
Filed under: Microcaecilia unicolor
Lineage: Eukaryota; Metazoa; Chordata; Amphibia; Gymnophiona; Siphonopidae
Description: Mun-Mir-10-P2b_pre stem-loop
Source: RNAcentral